AAUAAGUGCAGUUUUAUACUAUUUAUCUCUAACGAUUGACAGUUCGUCUUAUUUGAAAAAUUUUUAUGAUUGAUAUUUUUAUUGCUAUUAGAUGACAAAAUAUGAAUGGUACUUUAUGUGUGACUAAAUUUUUUAAAAUUUUUCAUAAAUUUUUUAAAUAAGACGAACGGUCAAAAGUUGGACACGGAUUUCUACGGCUGCACUCAAU
Non-coding RNA from Oryza barthii, 208 nucleotides. Lineage: Eukaryota; Viridiplantae; Streptophyta; Magnoliopsida; Poales; Poaceae. The record is from Rfam.